CUCCACUUUCUACCUCUUUUCCACAGGCCUGUUUCCCCUCAGACCACUUGGGAGUGUGAUGGGCUUUCCUGCUGGCCCCUGGCUGCCAGGCACCCUGACCCCUGCCCUAGCCCCACCUUGCUGUCAGGCCUUCUCAGCCCGGCUGACCUUUGUGCUCUAGACUGUUUCCUCACUCCGUACUCCCGCUAAACCCUAACCAGUUUCAGAUCUUGGUCCUUUAGGGCUCUGUCUUCUGUUUCCCAAGAGCUUCGUUGAUUACCUCGAAAGGCGGGGGCUGGGACGGGGCACCGCAAUUCAAGGCACAACAGAAAUCGGGAGUGGAGCAUUUCUUCGGACCAUGCGCAUAACUUUGUGUUAAGUGUUGGCACUACAACGAAUUUCACCGAACUCUGCGGACCGCCCUAACAACCCAGCACAUCGACUACUCCCUGAGCGCAGACGGUGCGCGCUUCCUUGGUGGGCAUGGCGCUUCUGCCACCGCAGCCUGCAGACGUAGCCAGGAACCUCCCACCUACAGGCACUAUUAAUCACAGUGGAAACGAACAGGAAUCAACGCAUAAUGGAUAAGAUUAGCCGUCCGCGGAAGCACAGCACUUCAAACCGAGUGGUAAACACCGGCCAGCAGCUCUGCCAGAUAUAAUCAGAGACAAGAGCACUUCUGCCACCAAUCCAGAGACGAGAGUGCCCUGGAGUGUGGGCCUGGUGCAUCCUUAGGACCGGAACCUUUUUCGAAAGUGACCUUUUUAAUCAUGUUGUAACUGAGUGCCUGAUAGAAGGAUGGUGCUCUGUAUGGAUUCUAGAAUCUAGGGGAAGGAGCCAAAGAGUAAAUAUUUGUGGGUGUUUAUCCUGUGCUGCAAAUACUGUUUGAUAGGUCACUGGAUAACAUAAAAGCCAGCAUUUACAGAACACUUACUAUCUGUGCCAGGCCAGGGCCUAAUUUCAGUCUGAGGUAUGACUCCAAGACAACAGAUUGCCCUGUGGUUUGUGGAACACCCAUCUGCUGCCGUCACAUACUCUAACCCGGCAGGGCCAGGAGGGGCUGGCUGCUCCCAUCGCACCAAGAUGAAAGUGGCUGGCUCAGUGGCUCUGGUUUGGUAAUUAGACCCUUCAUUACAGCUCUCAAAAGUCAAGCCAGGCCCAGCAACUUUCUUUGAUAGUAAAGUAUUCUACCUUUUUCCAGACACUGACACUAACCUAAGGUGUAACGUUUAUAGUAACACAAGUAUAAAAUACGGGCACUGAAGAUCAGAGAAAAUUUGUAAAAUAGUACAUACCUAUGAUCUGAAAGACAGUGAGACAGCCUCCAAAUAUAUACACAUGGAUGAAUGAAUGGACCCCAGGGUACCACGUCAUCAUCGACAUGAAGGAGACAUGGAUAAGAAGGAAGAGUG
RNAcentral lists this long non-coding RNA (1391 nucleotides) under Equus caballus (horse). Its description in RNAcentral is "lncRNA (ENSECAG00000060341.1)". Lineage: Eukaryota; Metazoa; Chordata; Mammalia; Perissodactyla; Equidae. The record is from RNAcentral.